GAUGAACGCUGGCGGCGUGCCUAAUACAUGCAAGUCGAGCGAACAGACGAGGAGCUUGCUCCUCUGACGUUAGCGGCGGACGGGUGAGUAACACGUGGAUAACCUCCCUAUAAGACUGGGAUAACUUCGGGAAACCGGCGCUAAUACCGGAUAAUAUAUUGAACCGCAUGGUUCAAUAGUGAAUGACGGUUUUGCUGUCACUGAUAGAUGGAUCCGCGCCGCAUUAGCUAGUUGGUAAGGUAACGGCUUACCAAGGCAACGAUGCGUAGCCGACCCGAGAGGGUGAUCGGCCACCCUGGAACUGAGACACGGUCCAGACUCCUACGGGAGGCAGCAGUAGGGAAUCUUCCGCAAUGGGCGAAAGCCUGACGGAGCAACGCCGCGUGAGUGAUGAAGGUCUUCGGAUCGUAAAACUCUGUUAUUAGGGAAGAACAAAUGUGUAAGUAACUAUGCACGUCUUGACGGUACCUAAUCAGAAAGCCACGGCUAACUACGUG
RNAcentral lists this ribosomal RNA (497 nucleotides) under uncultured bacterium. Its description in RNAcentral is "partial 16S ribosomal RNA". It matches the Rfam family "Bacterial small subunit ribosomal RNA", at positions 28 to 507 of the family's 1533-position model. The record is from RNAcentral.